RNAcentral lists this long non-coding RNA (156 nucleotides) under Junco hyemalis (dark-eyed junco). Its description in RNAcentral is "lncRNA (ENSJHYG00000018034.1)". The record is from RNAcentral. Lineage: Eukaryota; Metazoa; Chordata; Aves; Passeriformes; Passerellidae.
GCUUUGUCUGUCAGACUUUCUUGUUAUACCCUAGGAGACACAGGAUGCAUUGAUGCCUUCUAGUGUACUGUGUGGCUGAACAGGACAGCUUUGCACAAUAUGUGACAGAGGGUACUGUGCAACUUCACUUUCUUGGAUGAGCUGUGCAAAGCACCA